GUUACAUCUCAGCCUUUUGCCUAAGGUCAGGUGUAGUGUGUGUUCUUAGCAGUUUAAUAUCUGAUAUGUCCUCUAUCCAGCACAAUAUAUUAAAUGGAUUUUGGAACUAGGAGAUGGAAUAGGAGCUUUCUCCAACCACGCCGUGCAUUGACCUGGUAUUGCAGUACUUCCAGGAGCGGUGCACCCCCU
Molecule: small nuclear RNA, 189 nt
Organism: Ursus americanus (American black bear)
Lineage: Eukaryota; Metazoa; Chordata; Mammalia; Carnivora; Ursidae
Gene: U2
Rfam family: U2 spliceosomal RNA
About the family: U2 is a small nuclear RNA (snRNA) component of the spliceosome (involved in pre-mRNA splicing). Complementary binding between U2 snRNA (in an area lying towards the 5' end but 3' to hairpin I) and the branchpoint sequence (BPS) of the intron results the bulging out of an unpaired adenosine, on the BPS, which initiates a nucleophilic attack at the intronic 5' splice site, thus starting the first of two transesterification reactions that mediate splicing.
Source: Ensembl